AUUGAACGCUGGCGGCAGGCCUAACACAUGCAAGUCGAGCGGAUGAAGGGAGCUUGCUCCUGGAUUCAGCGGCGGACGGGUGAGUAAUGCCUAGGAAUCUGCCUGGUAGUGGGGGAUAACGUCCGGAAACGGGCGCUAAUACCGCAUACGUCCUGAGGGAGAAAGUGGGGGAUCUUCGGACCUCACGCUAUCAGAUGAGCCUAGGUCGGAUUAGCUAGUUGGUGGGGUAAAGGCCUACCAAGGCGACGAUCCGUAACUGGUCUGAGAGGAUGAUCAGUCACACUGGAACUGAGACACGGUCCAGACUCGUACGGGAGGCAGCAGUGGGGAAUAUUGGACAAUGGGCGGAAGCCUAAUCCAGCCAUGCCGCGUGUGUGAAGAAGGUCUUCGGAUUGUAAAGCAAUUUAAGUUGGGAGGAAGGGCAGUAAGUUAAUACCUUGCUGUUUUGACGUUACCAACAGAAUAAGCACCGGCUAACUUCGUG
This 484-nucleotide ribosomal RNA is filed under the name uncultured bacterium. RNAcentral describes it as "partial 16S ribosomal RNA". It matches the Rfam family "Bacterial small subunit ribosomal RNA", at positions 30 to 507 of the family's 1533-position model. The record is from RNAcentral.